GUGGGAGCCUGUGAUGAUAUAAAAUUCUUUUACUGUUUUGCAACAGAGGUCUCAGAGGUUUUCCAGAGGGAAGAAAAACAGUAGAAUGCAUGUAGAUAUAUAAGAAGCUAUUUAUUAUGGGAAGUGACACAUAUGAGAAUUGAGAAGCCCCAGGAUAUGCCAUUGGCAAGCUGGAGAAGCAGGGAAGCCAGUGGCAUAAUUCCAUCUGAGUCUGAAGGCGUGAGAAAUUUGGAGGAAGGGGAUGCUGAUCUAAAACCUGGAGUCAGAAGGCCUGAGAAGCAUGUGCAUCAGAGUCUGAAUGCAGAAUAUGGAUGUCUGAGCUCAAGAAGAGAGAAAGAUAAUUUAUCCUUCUUCUGCUUUUUUGUUCUGUUCUGACCCUCAGUGGACUGGAUGAUGGCUGUUCACAUUGGUAAGGGCAGAUCUUCUUUACUCAGUCUAUAGAUUCAAAUGGUAUUUUUUUCUGGAAACAUCCUCACAGACAUACCUAGUUGUGAUACAGGAUGGGGGCAGGGAAGUGCUGGGUAGAGAAAGUCAGCUUCCCUGACGAGGGAUCCACCCUCAGGCCUGUGCCCGUGGACCUAGGUGAGGACAGGCACUCCUGUUUUCAUGCCCAACUGUUGCAAUAUCUAAGACCACCCUGACCUGCCACGCCCACAUCCUGUGCCUAUAAAAACCCUGAGACCCUAGCGGGCACAAACACAAGCGGCUGGAUGUCGAGAAGAACACACCAGCGGAAGAACACACCAGCGGAAGAAUACACCAGCAGACAUUCGCAGACACUGGCAGGCCAUCUAUGGCGGGACAACGCGGGGUUCGGCCAAGGGCGGUUGGAGACGAGCCUGGCCACUGGGCGGCCCAACUCCAGGAGAAGACCACCUUCUCACUCCAUCACACUUCUGGCCUCCCCAUCCACCUCUCUGAGAGCUACCACCACUCAAUUUAAAACCUUGCACCCAUCCUCCAAGCCCACAUGUGAUACAAUUUUUUCCAUUAGGCUAAGGCAAGAACCUCGGGAUACAGAAAGCCCUCUGUCCUUGUGAUAAGGCAGAGGGUCUAACUGAGCUGAUGAACACAAGCUGCCUGAGGACGGCUAAACUGAAUGAUACACUGUAACACAUGUCCACUGGAGCUUCAGGAGCUGUGAACACUCAACCCUAGACGCUGCCGUGGGGUCAGAGCCCAUGCUCCCAACGACCUGCCCGUCUGCAUGCUCCUCCCCUAGGGGUUUGAGCUGCUGCAGCAGAGCGCCAAAGAAGCAAGCCACACGCCAUCACACGCCCUGCCAGGGGGAUAAGGGAACUUUUCCUGUUUCAACUGGGACCUCGCCCAGGAUCCCGGAAGGGAUUCCAGCAUUUGUCCCAGCAUGUUUUAUGCAGAAAGAAGUGAUCAAGGAAAGUGUCCAAGACAUGGUAAGCCAAAUGUAGAAUGAGGCAGUCAUAGUGAGAGGAUUGUCCACUCUGUUAUGCAUGAUUGAGAGUCAUAUUUAUUCCUAAACUACAUUCUUUUAUUAUUACUGUUAACUUUUCUCUGAAGUCCACAUUAUUUAAAAUUUACUUACAUGCUUUUCUUUCACAGUUAAAUGCUCUUGCACUUAAGUUCCUGAAAUAAAGCACUGCCUCCUUAAACAGAAAUACUAAUUUAUUAUAAAUAUGCAUAUUAAAUCCUGA
Molecule: long non-coding RNA, 1667 nt
Filed under: Homo sapiens (human)
Lineage: Eukaryota; Metazoa; Chordata; Mammalia; Primates; Hominidae
Description: HSALNT0077439
Source: RNAcentral